GACGAACCGUGCGAACGGUGUUCGGAAUCACUGGGCUUAAAGGGCGCGUAGGCGGACGGCCGCGUCCGGGGUGAAAUCUUCCGGCUUAACCGGAAAACAGCCCCGGAUACGGGUCGUCUGGAGGGGGGUAGGGGCGGUCGGAACUUCCGGUGGAGCGGUGAAAUGCGUUGAUAUCGGAAGGAACGCCGGUGGCGAAAGCGGACCACUGGACCCCACCUGACGCUGAGGAGCGAAAGCCAGGGGAGCAAACAGG
This 253-nucleotide ribosomal RNA is filed under the name uncultured bacterium. RNAcentral's name for it is "partial 16S ribosomal RNA". It matches the Rfam family "Bacterial small subunit ribosomal RNA", at positions 524 to 776 of the family's 1533-position model. The record is from RNAcentral.